CGCUGGCGGCACGCCUAACACAUGCAAGUCGAACGAAGUAGCAAUACUUAGUGGCAGACGGGUGAGUAACAUGUAGGUAUCUACCCUUUGGCCUGGAAUAACACGAGGAAACUUGUGCUAAUACCGGAUAAGUCUUUACAGAGAAAGCUUUAUGCACCAUUGGAUGAGCCUGCACUUGAUUAGUUUGUUGGUGGGGUAAUGGCCUACCAAGACUGUGAUCAAUAGCUGAUUUGAGAGGAUGAUCAGCCACAUUGGGACUGAGACACGGCCCAAACUCCUACGGGAGGCAGCAGUGGGGAAUCUUGCACAAUGGAGGAAACUCUGAUGCAGCGAUGCCGCGUGAGUGAAGAAGGCCCUUGGGUUGUAAAGCUCUUUCGUCGGGGAAGAAAAUGACUGUACCCGAAUAAGAAGGUCCGGCUAACUUCGUGCCAGCAGCCGCGGUAAUACGAAGGGACCUAGCGUAGUUCGGAAUUACUGGGCUUAAAGAGUUCGUAGGUGGUUGAAAAAGUUAGUGGUGAAAUCCCAGAGCUUAACUCUGGAACUGCCAUUAAAACUUUUCAGCUAGAGUAUGAUAGAGGAAAGCAGAAUUUCUAGUGUAGAGGUGAAAUUCGUAGAUAUUAGAAAGAAUACCAAUUGCGAAGGCAGCUUUCUGGAUCAUUACUGACACUGAGGAACGAAAGCAUGGGUAGCGAAGAGGAUUAGAUACCCUCGUAGUCCAUGCCGUAAACGAUGUGUGUUAGACGUUGGAAAUUUAUUUUCAGUGUCGCAGCGAAAGCGAUAAACACACCGCCUGGGGAGUACGACC
This 805-nucleotide ribosomal RNA is filed under the name uncultured Pelagibacteraceae bacterium. RNAcentral's name for it is "bacterial SSU rRNA". It matches the Rfam family "Bacterial small subunit ribosomal RNA", at positions 34 to 887 of the family's 1533-position model. The record is from RNAcentral. Lineage: Bacteria; Pseudomonadati; Pseudomonadota; Alphaproteobacteria; Candidatus Pelagibacterales; Candidatus Pelagibacteraceae.